Amborella trichopoda is the source of this 2713-nucleotide non-coding RNA. NCBI's taxonomy places the organism in Eukaryota, Viridiplantae, Streptophyta, Magnoliopsida, Amborellales, Amborellaceae. The record is from RefSeq and is a predicted model, not a curated record.
CUCAUAAUAAUAUUGAACUUCUCAAUCCAUCUUGUUUCAUAGCUGCUAACUCAGAGAGAAAUAAUUCCCUCUGAAAUCCCAAAUUAGGGUAUUUGAACCCAAAAGGGAAUAAACUGCGUAGAACCUAUUUCCUCUAUUCAAUGGUUGCACCUACUAAUUUCAAUGGUUGCACCUACUAAUUUUUGCAACCAAUUUCUGUCUGUUUCAUGUGUACAUACUGAGUUUUCUCACUCUAGGUUGUAAUUUCUCUCUAGCAUUUUCUGUUGGACCUGUUUCGUUUUUUCAAGGUUCCGUGGUUUUCUCUUACUUUUAACUCAUGCUAUGCAGUACAGAUAUAGAGAUAGACCUAAUAUUUGUUCUUAAUGAUGGGAUUAUGACUUGAUUUCUCUCUAGCGCUUUCAUCCCUGCUCCUGCUUUUCUCUCUCUCUUGUACAUUAGAUAUAGGAAUAAACUGCAGAUCUAGAGAGAGAGGAAUCAAUAUAAUUAAUUCUGAAAUUGUAUAAAUUGGGUGUUGGUUUGCAAAUUAUUUUUGAAGGCUUCCUUACCAGUGUUCCUAAGUGCUCUAUAUAGACGAGAAGAAUUUAAAGAUAAUGGAUGAAUGGGUGUAUAUUAACAAGCUCCUGUACUGUUUUUGUAUUUUUCUUGGUACUCCAAGCGCCUUCCAAAACUUCUAAUCUCUAAAUUUUUAUUAUUCUAGUUUGAUCCGCAUUCUAUUGUAAUUUUCUCUUCGUGAUUUUCUUCCCAAUAUAUAUUAAGCAAUUUGUUUAUUUUUUAUGAUUCCCAAUCUUGCCCAUGUUGAGAACUUACCAGUUCUUUGUGUUCAAUGUCCUUUAUGACUCUUUAUUUCUUAAACUCAGAUGUCAAAACCUUCCUGGUGUUCCAUGAUUAUUGCAUACUAACCUUGACAUGUAAGUUUCAAUUUUUUUUUUUUUUUUCUGACAUUGACUGCUAAUUCUAAUAAGCCAUUUGUGUUUCUCUGUAGUUUUUCUCUGUACUUCCUUUCUCUCAAGGAGUACCUCACAGCUCUCUACUUUUGUAAUGCCUCUAGCAAAUUUUAUUAAUGGACAUCCUAUCUUUAAAUUUUGGUUUCAUUCUAUCUUCAAAUUUAAAGAUAAUAGAUGAAUGGGUGUAUAUUACUGACAAUUGAGUGUUUCAAUGAUUUAUUUGUUUAAAUUUGAUGAGAGAGAGGAUGGGGGAACCACAAUUUUGGUUUGGGUUGCUUUGGUUUCAUUCUAUCUUCAAAUUUAGAAAAUUUUCUGAACAUGGAAUUGAUUGGGUUGAUGAUUGUUUGAUGGAGUUAGUCGACCUCUGUUGUAUGAGAUGUCAUUGAUGUGUUCUUGACAUAGGUUAUUGAGCUAAACAUUUAUGGAUUCCUUGCAUGAGUUAUAAGCAAGUUAUUUUUCAUUAUUGUUUAUGUGCAGAUUUCUCCAUAAACGUGUGACAGCUUUGAGUUCAUUCUAUUGACUAUUUGCUUUGGUAUUUGUUCCCUUUUAAAAUUGUGCGUGUUUGAACUUCGAUAUAUGUGAACUUCUAUAGCGUCCAUUUUACAUAAUGUCAAGAUUGUGUGAUAAUUUGACAAGUGUUAAGAGGGUACCAUUCAGUCCGGAGAUGUCAGAGCAACCCCCUAUCUCUCAAGAUCCAACCAAGGCAAACCAAGGCAAAUUGGAGUGCAACUCGCGAUGAAUUCAUUGUUGAACAAUUGAAAAUAUUAAUUUUGCUGGGAAACGGUCUGAUAUUGGAUGGAAGAAAGAGGAUUGAAGGUCUGUCUUGGAUGCAUUUAAUAAAAAUUUUGAUCAAAAUAUCGUACAAUAAUUGAAAACUCACUGGGCUACAGCACUCAAUAUUUUAUUGCGAAGGAUCUUAUUAACCAAAGUGGUUUCAGUUGGGAUGACCAUGCCCAUGUUGUAACUGCUUCGAAUGGUGUGUGGGAUCGAUAUCUUCAAGUAAAUUUUUAGUGUUGAUUAUUCAAUUCUUUAUUUUUCUUUGGUUGUUGUAGGAAUAUAUCUAUGCAAGAUGUUUGGAAAACUCACAUAUCUAAGCAAACAGGCCCAUCUUAAAACAAAACCAUAUAGAAAUGUGAGCUUUUCCCUUUAUGAUCAACUUACCAUACUAGUAGAAGGUAAACAUGUCACAGGGAAAGGGUAUUUAUCGACUGUUUGUCAAGAUACAUUAGAAGAUGACACAAGUGAACAUGAAAUUGAGCAAAGUCCAUAAGCAGACCCACAUUAUAAUGCAAAUGAGAAUGAUUUGAGCUCUUCAGAUGUCAGAUGAUAUGCUUAUGGACACCCUUGAAAGGAACAAAUGUCAAGCUGGUGUGUAAUUAAUUCCACAACAACUGUUGAGAAUUUAGUCAGGACAGACAUGUCAACCUCACAAAUAUUGCAAAGUCCUACAGAAAAUGAAGAGUUUUCAUAUGAGAAGUUUUUGAUAGAAUUGUAGCAGUUGGAAGGCUUAUAAUCAAAGUGAGCGUGUGUAAGCAAUAGAUUUACUUGUUAAUGAAAAAGUGGCCAUCGCAUUUAUGACUCUCGAAGGAAAACUUCGUUUGGAUUGGUUGCGUUCUAAAUGUUACAUUGUAGAGUAGAUAUCCAUUUUGUAAUUUUAAAUUUAUUUUGUGUGGGGGGACUCUUAAUUAGCGACUUGAAGAACUUCCUAAUCUAUGUAUGACUUUUGGACUUGAGUUUUUUGAGUAACAUGUGUGAAAUGUUUGUUGAUU